UACGUAGGGCGCAAGCGUUGUCCGGAAUUAUUGGGCGUAAAGAGCUCGUAGGCGGUUUGUCGCGUCUGCUGUGAAAACUCGGGGCUUAACUCCGGGCCUGCAGUGGGUACGGGCAGACUAGAGUGCGGUAGGGGAGACUGGAAUUCCUGGUGUAGCGGUGAAAUGCGCAGAUAUCAGGAGGAACACCGGUGGCGAAGGCGGGUCUCUGGGCCGUAACUGACGCUGAGGAGAGAAAGCGUGGGGAGCGAACAGG
RNAcentral lists this ribosomal RNA (253 nucleotides) under uncultured bacterium. RNAcentral's name for it is "partial 16S ribosomal RNA". It matches the Rfam family "Bacterial small subunit ribosomal RNA", at positions 524 to 776 of the family's 1533-position model. The record is from RNAcentral.